RNAcentral lists this ribosomal RNA (496 nucleotides) under uncultured bacterium. RNAcentral describes it as "partial 16S ribosomal RNA". It matches the Rfam family "Bacterial small subunit ribosomal RNA", at positions 28 to 506 of the family's 1533-position model. The record is from RNAcentral.
GAUGAACGCUGGCGGCGUGCCUAAUACAUGCAAGUCGAGCGAACGGACGAGAAGCUUGCUUCUCUGAUGUUAGCGGCGGACGGGUGAGUAACACGUGGAUAACCUACCUAUAAGACUGGGAUAACUUCGGGAAACCGGAGCUAAUACCGGAUAAUAUUUUGAACCGCAUGGUUCAAAAGUGAAAGACGGUCUUGCUGUCACUUAUAGAUGGAUCCGCGCUGCAUUAGCUAGUUGGUAAGGUAACGGCUUACCAAGGCAACGAUGCAUAGCCGACCUGAGAGGGUGAUCGGCCACACUGGAACUGAGACACGGUCCAGACUCCUACGGGAGGCAGCAGUAGGGAAUCUUCCGCAAUGGGCGAAAGCCUGACGGAGCAACGCCGCGUGAGUGAUGAAGGUCUUCGGAUCGGAAAACUCUGUUAUUAGGGAAGAACAUAUGUGUAAGUAACUGUGCACAUCUUGACGGUACCUAAUCAGAAAGCCACGGCUAACUACGU